GACGAACGCUGGCGGCGUGCUUAACACAUGCAAGUCGAACGGAAAGGCCCUGCUUUUGUGGGGUGCUCGAGUGGCGAACGGGUGAGUAACACGUGAGUAACCUGCCCUUGACUUUGGGAUAACUUCAGGAAACUGGGGCUAAUACCGGAUAGGAGCUCCUGCUGCAUGGUGGGGGUUGGAAAGUUUCGGCGGUUGGGGAUGGACUCGCGGCUUAUCAGCUUGUUGGUGGGGUAGUGGCUUACCAAGGCUUUGACGGGUAGCCGGCCUGAGAGGGUGACCGGCCAAAUUGGGACGGAAGUACGGCCCAGAAUCCUACGGGAGGGAGCAGGGGGGAAUAGUGCACUAUGGGCGGAAGCCUUGUGCAGCAACGCCGCGUGCGGGAUGACGGCCUUCGGGUUGUAAACCGCUUUCGCCUGUGACGAAGCGUGAGUGACGGUAAUGGGUAAAGAAGCACCGGCUAACUACGUG
Molecule: ribosomal RNA, 468 nt
Filed under: uncultured bacterium
Lineage: Bacteria
Description: partial 16S ribosomal RNA
Rfam family: Bacterial small subunit ribosomal RNA
Source: RNAcentral